AUUGAACGCUGGCGGCAGGCCUAACACAUGCAAGUCGAAUGGUAACAGGAAACAGCUUGCUGUUUCGCUGACGAGUGGCGGACGGGUGAGUAAUGUCUGGGAAACUGCCUGAUGGAGGGGGAUAACUACUGGAAACGGUAGCUAAUACCGCAUAACGUCGCAAGACCAAAGAGGGGGACCUUCGGGCCCCUGGCCAUCAGAUGUGCCCAGAUGGGAUUAGCUAGUAGGUGGGGUAACGGCUCACCUAGGCGACGAUCCCUAGCUGGUCUGAGAGGAUGACCAGCCACACUGGAACUGAGACACGGUCCAGACUCCUACGGGAGGCAGCAGUGGGGAAUAUUGCACAAUGGGCGCAAGCCUGAUGCAGCCAUGCCGCGUGUAUGAAGAAGGCCUUCGGGUUGUAAAGUACUUUCAGCGGGGAGGAAGGGAGUAAAGUUAAUACCUUUGCUCAUUGACGUUACCCGCAGAAGAAGCACCGGCUAACUCCGUG
RNAcentral lists this ribosomal RNA (490 nucleotides) under uncultured bacterium. Its description in RNAcentral is "partial 16S ribosomal RNA". It matches the Rfam family "Bacterial small subunit ribosomal RNA", at positions 30 to 507 of the family's 1533-position model. The record is from RNAcentral.